Regulatory RNA element from Gordonia bronchialis DSM 43247, 132 nucleotides. It matches the Rfam family "ALIL pseudoknot". The record is from Rfam. NCBI's taxonomy places the organism in Bacteria, Bacillati, Actinomycetota, Actinomycetes, Mycobacteriales, Gordoniaceae.
GGCGUUUUUCGCCGCGGCGGAGAUCGACCGCCGACUUCGUUGAUCGUCGAGUACAUCGACGAUCACAGGGACAGGUUCGGGGUCGAUCCGAUCUGCCGGGUACUCACCGAGUACGGAAUGCAGAUUGCCCCA